GAUGAACGCUAGCUACAGGCUUAACACAUGCAAGUCGAGGGGUAACGAGAGGAAAGCUUGCUUUCCUUGUCGACGACCGGCGCACGGGUGAGUAACGCGUAUCCAACCUGCCCCCAACUAGGGAAUAACCUUGCGAAAGUAAGACUAAUACCCUAUAAUUUCCUCAGAUGUCAUCUGACGAGGAAUAAAGAUUUAUCGGUUGUGGAUGGGGAUGCGUCUGAUUAGCUUGUUGGCGGGGUAACGGCCCACCAAGGCAACGAUCAGUAGGGGCUCUGAGAGGAAGGUCCCCCACAUGGGGACUGGGACACGGUCCAAACUCCUACGGGAGGCAGCAGUGAGGAAUAUUGGUCAAUGGGCGGAAGCCUGAACCAGCCAAGUAGCGUGCAGGAUGACGGCCCUAUGGGUUGUAAACUGCUUUUAUACAGGAAUAAAGUUAGCCACGUGUGGUUAUUUGUAGGUACUGUAUGAAUAAGGACCGGCUAAUUCCGUGCCAGCCGCCGCAGUAA
This 506-nucleotide ribosomal RNA is filed under the name uncultured bacterium. Its description in RNAcentral is "partial 16S ribosomal RNA". It matches the Rfam family "Bacterial small subunit ribosomal RNA", at positions 28 to 523 of the family's 1533-position model. The record is from RNAcentral.